RNAcentral lists this non-coding RNA (183 nucleotides) under Nitrospirota bacterium. RNAcentral's name for it is "Nitrospirae bacterium (groundwater metagenome) 6S RNA". It matches the Rfam family "6S / SsrS RNA". From Rfam's summary of the family: E. coli 6S RNA was the first non coding RNA to be sequenced, but its function was unknown until recently. It consists of 184 nucleotides that fold into an extended hairpin structure with a large single-stranded internal bulge. The 6S RNA specifically associates with RNA polymerase holoenzyme containing the sigma70 specificity factor. The record is from RNAcentral. Lineage: Bacteria; Pseudomonadati; Nitrospirota.
GAUUGCCUGCCUUGUUCGUGAUAGGAGAGAAAAACUUGUUCCGACAAUUAGAUGAUUUCGGGAGCCGGAGAAGCGCAAGUGUUGUGCGCCCCGCAGGGGAAAUGCCUGAUCUUGCUUUCAAGGCGCCCACCUGUGUAAACAGGGAUCCAAGUUUUUUUCUUACCACGGCAAGGUGGGUCCCUU